RNAcentral lists this ribosomal RNA (588 nucleotides) under uncultured bacterium. RNAcentral's name for it is "partial 16S ribosomal RNA". It matches the Rfam family "Bacterial small subunit ribosomal RNA", at positions 897 to 1497 of the family's 1533-position model. The record is from RNAcentral.
AAACUCAAAGGAAUUGACGNNCNNNNNNNNAGCAGCGGAGCGUGUGGUUUAAUUCGAUGCNCNNNNNAAAAAACCUUACCAGGGUUUGACAUCUUCUCGCACCGCCUGGAAACAGGCGUACCCGCAAGGGACGGGANGNNAGGUGCUGCAUGGCUGUCGUCAGCUCGUGUCGUGAGAUGUUGGGUUAAGUCCCGCAACGAGCGCAACCCUCAUCGUCGGUUACAAGUGUCCGACGAGACUGCCACGAUCAACGUGGAGGAAGGCGGGGAUGACGUCAAGUCAGCACGGCCCUUACACCCUGGGCGACACACACGCUACAAUGGUCGGGACAAAAGGACGCCAACCCGCGAGGGGGAGCCAAUCNAAUAAACCCGAUCUCAGUUCAGAUUGUAGGCUGCAACCCGCCUGCAUGAAGAAGGAGUUGCUAGUAACCGUGCGUCAGCACAGCACGGUGAAUACGUUCCCGGGUCUUGUACACACCGCCCGUCACACCACGAAAGUCGGCAACACCUGAAGCCGUUGGGCUAACCCGCAAGGGAGGCAAGCGUCGAGGGUGGGGUUGGUGAUUGGNNUNAAUCNNGACUGGGG